This 253-nucleotide ribosomal RNA is filed under the name uncultured bacterium. RNAcentral describes it as "partial 16S ribosomal RNA". It matches the Rfam family "Bacterial small subunit ribosomal RNA", at positions 524 to 776 of the family's 1533-position model. The record is from RNAcentral.
UACGUAGGCAGCGAGCGUUGUUCGGAGUUACUGGGCGUAAAGCGUGCGUAGGCGGUUUUGUAAGUUUGGUGUGAAAUCUCCCGGCUCAACUGGGAGGGUGCGCCGAAAACUGCAAGGCUGGAGUAUGGGAGAGGUAGGCGGAAUUCCUGGUGUAGCGGUGAAAUGCGUAGAUAUCAGGAGGAACACCCGUGGCGAAGGCGGCUCUCUGGAACGCAACUGACGCUGAGACGCGAAAGCGUGGGGAGCAAACAGG